AUACGGAGGGAGCAAGCGUUAUUCGGAAUCACUGGGCGUAAAGGACGCGUAGGCGGGUUUGUAAGUCAGGUGUGAAAUCCUACAGCUCAACUGUAGAACUGCACUUGAAACUACAGACCUAGAGUAUGGAAGGGGCAGAUGGAAUUAGUGGUGUAGGGGUAAAAUCCGUAGAUAUCACUAGGAAUACCGAAAGCGAAGGCGAUCUGCUGGGACAUUACUGACGCUGAGGCGUGAAAGCGUGGGGAGCAAACAGAAUUAGAUACCCUAGUAGUCC
This 274-nucleotide ribosomal RNA is filed under the name uncultured bacterium. RNAcentral describes it as "partial 16S ribosomal RNA". It matches the Rfam family "Bacterial small subunit ribosomal RNA", at positions 523 to 796 of the family's 1533-position model. The record is from RNAcentral.